CAGAACGUUGAAGAUUUUGUGUUAAAAAGAGAGCUUUGGAAUGUGUAUUCUUUAAUGUGGAUUAAUUUUUAUAGCUAUGUCCAGACAUUUCACAUACGGAUCGAAAUUGGAAAAAACUUGGUGAAUGAAGAGGAGAGUAUUUGCUGCCAUGUUUUGAAAAAUUCCAUUGGAAGGCAAAUAAAGAUAUCCGGCUUUUUCAAAGAUAAUGAGGAUUUAAAAAGAGCUGUUCGGACUAACCGCUUGUAGGCCGAAUCAAUUUCUAUGAAAUUUCACUGAGUCCGACCAUGAAGGAAAAAUAAAAACAAGCAGGACAAGAAAGAAGAAAAUCCGUUCAAAAAUACAAUGGAGGACAGUGAUUGGUUAUAAACCUGUUUACAAAAAUUGUAUAUGAUAAGUUAAAUGAGUGGAAAACUUUUGAAACUUAUUUUACUAGAUACGAAUUUCAAUCUAAAU
Saccostrea cuccullata (small rock oyster) is the source of this 453-nucleotide long non-coding RNA. RefSeq lists it as uncharacterized. The transcript is spliced from 3 exons. The record is from RefSeq and is a predicted model, not a curated record. Lineage: Eukaryota; Metazoa; Mollusca; Bivalvia; Ostreida; Ostreidae.